This 247-nucleotide unclassified non-coding RNA is filed under the name rhizosphere metagenome. RNAcentral's name for it is "partial ribosomal RNA internal transcribed spacer region". The record is from RNAcentral.
GUAGGUGAACCUGCGGAAGGAUCAUUACCAAAUCCAAAAAAAACUUUAUCAACACCACUAUGUGAACUGAGAAUGGUUUCGUUCCCUCCAGAAGCCUUUUGAGUCGGAGACCCUCUGGCUUAUUGGUGGAGGAGGGAAUGUCUAUUUUUUUUCAACCCCUUUACAACCAUCCAACCUAUUCUUUAUGCUGAAAGCAAAACAAAAACGAAACAUGAGACAACUUUUAACGGUGGAUCUCUUGGCUCGU